UUGACUGCAAGAACUCACCUUGAGCAGGAUAGAGGCACGUGGACGGUGACCCUCGGGAUGCAAUAAAUGCUGAGACAGAUCAGCAAACAUUGAGUGGGCCAGACACUGUUCUGAAAAAUACGCAGUCGACUUUUGAACAGCACAGGCUUGAACUGCAUGCGGCCACUAAUACUCGGACUUCCUUCUGCCUCUGCCAUCCCUAAGACAGCAAGACCCACCCCUCCUGCUCCUCAGCCUACUCGAUGUGAUGAUGAUGCAGAGAUUCAGAGAGUCUAAGCAACUUUUCUAAAUCAUCUAGCUGGAAUUCAGUAACUGAGCCAGGAUCUACCCCAGGUCUGUCUGACUCCAAAGCCUGUGUCUUCCAGCACACACUGCUGCUGCCUGGGGUAAGAGCUCAACAUUAUGCUUGGAAAAAGGAGCUUUUCUAUCUCAUUGUGGAGGGCUGGGAUGUCUCCCGUGUCCACGCUCCCUUCUUUCUUAGUAAUGGGCACGUUACUGCGUUCCCCAGCCUCUCUUGCAGCAAGGUGACCAAGUGAACACUUUCUGGCUAAUGAGAUGUACAUAGAAGUCUUGUGUAAUACUUCUGGGAAGCUUUCUGAAAGAGAGCGAAUACACUCUUCUCCCAUUUUCCUCAAAAACCUUCUAGCAGGAAUGUGGAUAUGA
Molecule: long non-coding RNA, 663 nt
Organism: Homo sapiens (human)
Lineage: Eukaryota; Metazoa; Chordata; Mammalia; Primates; Hominidae
Gene: STX18-AS1
Product: STX18 antisense RNA 1 (head to head)
Source: Ensembl